CUUUUCCUAACUUUGGAUGUACAGCUGGGAGCAAUUUCAGGAUGCAGUAGUUCUGAUCUUGGGCAACUUUUAUCUUCAAGGUAUAAUGAAGGUUUGGCUCGUCCCUCCAGUCUCACAACAUCAUUUGAUUUCUACAUGGGAGGAAGAAAAUGUAUGGGUGUUUCAUUACCUGAGAUUCAAAGGUUAACUCUCUGCAGGGAAAAUUAUGAAAAAUCUGAAUGUUUAAAUGAAGACAAAACAGGUUAUUAUCUUCUCAAUAGAAGUACAGAAUCAAAGAAUUUUCAACAAUGAAAGCCUCAUCUAAACUGAAUACUCAGUUUACUCACAAUUUUAAGGUAAGUAUUCUCUAUACAGUGGAAGUUCUAGAAUGCCUUCUAGGAUUAACUCAAAUAAAGCUGGUUACUUAGCCUAGGUUUGAAGUCACCUACAUGAUGGAGGCUUUGGCACAGAAUGUGAUUAGCCACCUGCUACAGAAUACUCCAGCUAGAGAGAGAGGAAAAGUCCUGCCUGUCCCUUGGGAAAUAGGCUAAAGCAUAUAGAAUCCACUGUAGUAACUAAUAUGUCAAAAGAAAAGAUUUUGAUUGAUGAAACAAAUACCAAAGUAGUGGAGUAUAGUAUAAAUGAACAGUGUUUUUAUGGCUUAUAUAUAAGGUGCAUUUUGAGCUCCUUAUACUAACUAGAGCAGCAUACUAUAGUAUAGAGUGAUCAUGGUAAGUUACUUUUCUCAUUUUUCUAGUUCUCAGCUUCUUAAUCAUAAAAUGGGAAUAAUUAGACUAUCUAUACUCUCUAUAGGGUUGUUAUGAGACUUGAAUAAAAUGAGCCUGG
Panthera uncia (snow leopard) is the source of this 825-nucleotide long non-coding RNA. RefSeq lists it as uncharacterized. NCBI's taxonomy places the organism in Eukaryota, Metazoa, Chordata, Mammalia, Carnivora, Felidae. The record is from RefSeq and is a predicted model, not a curated record. The transcript has 2 exons.